This 425-nucleotide ribosomal RNA is filed under the name uncultured rumen bacterium. RNAcentral's name for it is "bacterial SSU rRNA". It matches the Rfam family "Bacterial small subunit ribosomal RNA", at positions 354 to 776 of the family's 1533-position model. The record is from RNAcentral.
GUGAGGAAUAUUGGUCAAUGGCCGGAAGGCUGAACCAGCCAUGCCGCGUGCAGGAAUAAGGCCCUAUGGGUCGUAAACUGCUUUUGUGGUGGAGCAAUAAGACGUACGUGUACGUCGAUGAGAGUACAUCACGAAUAAGCAUCGGCUAACUCCGUGCCAGCAGCCGCGGUAAUACGGAGGAUGCAAGCGUUAUCCGGAUUUAUUGGGUUUAAAGGGUGCGUAGGCUGUUCGUCAAGUCAGAGGUGAAAUACCACAGCUUAACUGUGGAACUGCCUUUGAUACUGGCGAGCUGGAAUACGGAUGCCGUGGGAGGAAUGAGUAGUGUAGCGGUGAAAUGCAUAGAUAUUACUCAGAACACCGAUUGCGAAGGCAUCUCACGAAUCCGUCAUUGACGCUGAGGCACGAAAGCGUGGGGAUCAAACAGG